Molecule: ribosomal RNA, 862 nt
Filed under: Bicotyle reticulata
Lineage: Eukaryota; Metazoa; Platyhelminthes; Monogenea; Mazocraeidea; Heteraxinidae
Description: partial 28S ribosomal RNA
Rfam family: Eukaryotic large subunit ribosomal RNA
Source: RNAcentral
GGAUUCCCUUAGUAACGGCGAGUGAACAGGGAUUAGCCCAGCACCGAAGUCUGCGUCCGUUUGGGCGUUGGACAAUGUGGUGUUUAGGUUGGCAUUUUCAGGUGUUGCUCCGUUUAAAGUCCAUUCUUGAAUAUGGCUAAUAGUUUGGCCCAGAGAGGGUGAAAGGCCCGUGUGGAUGGAGUGAUGCUUGUCUUUGUUAACUGAAGAGUCGGGUUGUUUGAGAAUGCAGCCCAAAGUUGGUGGUAAACUCCAUCUAAGGCUAAAUACUGGCACGAGUCCGAUAGCGAACAAGUACCGUGAGGGAAAGUUGAAAAGUACUCUGAAGAGAGAGUUAACAGUGCGUGAAACCGCUUAGAAGCAAACGGGUGUAGUCAAGCUGCAAGCCUUAAGAAAUAGGCUGACCAGAGUGGCGUGAGCCUGAGCACAUAGGGCUGGUAUAAUAGGUCUGACUAUAUGUCAUAUACGGCUCGUAAGAGUCGUAUUUGCGGAGUGCUAUUUGGCGCUGCAAGCCUGUUUAUCAGUUGCUCUGCUGGUCAUCUCACUUUCUUUUGGCGUAUGUCACGACCGUCGUUGCUGUCGGUCUGCUCCAUUUAAACCGCUUCGUUAGUAGUCUCAUGCUACUGGUGUUGCGGGGGCAGGUAGCUGGUCUGGUUCGCCUGACUAGUGUAAUUGCUGAGUGGAGUGGUACCCUUAACUGUGCAGUGCGACGGGGCUGGCGGUGCAUUGUUGCUGAGUGCGCUAUAGCGUGUCGGCGUGGCUGGCGUAUGGCUGCUUGUUGCUGUUUUAUACGGCCUUGUGGUUGCACGGCUACGGUUUGAUGUGCGGUUGUGCUUGGUCAAUGUUGCAUUGUGCCUAUAGUCAG